RNAcentral lists this ribosomal RNA (253 nucleotides) under uncultured bacterium. RNAcentral's name for it is "partial 16S ribosomal RNA". It matches the Rfam family "Bacterial small subunit ribosomal RNA", at positions 524 to 776 of the family's 1533-position model. The record is from RNAcentral.
GACAGAGGUCUCAAGCGUUAGGCGGAAUCACUGGGCUUAAAGCGUGUGUAGGCGGAUGCCUAAGUACCUUGUGAAAUCCCACGGCUUAACCGUGGAACUGCUUGGUAUACUGGGUGUCUUGAGCCAGCUAGGGGCGACCGGAACAAACGGUGGAGCGGUGAAAUGCGUAGAUAUCGGGAGGAACACCAGUGGCGAAGGCGGCGAUCUGGGAAGAUACUGACGCUGAGGUGCGAAAGCGUGGGGAGCAAACAGG